Molecule: ribosomal RNA, 253 nt
Filed under: uncultured bacterium
Lineage: Bacteria
Description: partial 16S ribosomal RNA
Rfam family: Bacterial small subunit ribosomal RNA
Source: RNAcentral
UACGAAGGGGGCUAGCGUUGCUCGGAAUCACUGGGCGUAAAGGGUGCGUAGGCGGGUCUUUAAGUCAGGGGUGAAAUCCUGGAGCUCAACUCCAGAACUGCCUUUGAUACUGAAGAUCUUGAGUUCGGGAGAGGUGAGUGGAACUGCGAGUGUAGAGGUGAAAUUCGUAGAUAUUCGCAAGAACACCAGUGGCGAAGGCGCCUCACUGGCCCGAUACUGACACUGAGACACGAAAGCUUGGGGAGCAAACAGG